AGCUCAGGGAUAGAGCACUUCCUUGGUAAGGAAGAGAUCAGGGGCGGCCGCCGCGCGGUUCAAAUCCCCUC
This 71-nucleotide transfer RNA is filed under the name Dyadobacter sp. CY343. Its description in RNAcentral is "tRNA-Thr". The record is from RNAcentral. Lineage: Bacteria; Pseudomonadati; Bacteroidota; Cytophagia; Cytophagales; Spirosomataceae.